ACCCGAGAUCCUCGGCGCCGCAGUGAGGGGCAGGGCGCACCGGGCAGGGCGCGCGGGGCUGGGCGCACCGCGCGGCCGCCACCCCACCAUGCUCAAGCGCUGCGGCCGCCGCCUGCUGCUGGCGCUGGCGGGCGCGCUGCUCGCCUGCCUGCUGGUGCUCACCGCCGACCCGCCGCCGCCCCCGGUGCCCGCUGAGCGCGGUCGGCGCGCGCUGCGCAGCCUGGCGGGCCCCUCGGGGGUGGCCCCAGCUCCUGGGCUGGAGGCGGCGGCGGCACCCGGGGCGCUAGUCCGCGAGGUGCACAGUCUGUCCGAGUACUUCAGCCUGCUGACCCGCUCUCGUAGAGACGCGGGCCCACCGCCCGGCAGCGUCCCCCGCCCCGCAGCCGGCCAUCCGCGGCCCCCGGCCGAGCCACUCACGCCGCACGACGUCUUCAUCGCGGUCAAGACCACCAAAAAGUUUCACCGCGCGCGCCUCGACUUGCUGCUGGAGACGUGGAUCUCGCGCCACAAGGAGAUGACGUACAUUUUCACGGACGGGGAAGAUGCAGCCCUGGCCAGGCGCACGGGCAACGUGGUCAAUACCAACUGCUCGGCUGCCCACAGCCGCCAGGCGCUGUCCUGCAAGAUGGCCGUGGAGUAUGACCGCUUCAUCGAAUCGGGGAGGAAGUGGUUCUGCCACGUGGACGACGACAACUACGUGAACGUGCGGGCCUUGCUGCGGCUGCUGGCCAGCUACCCGCACACGCAGGACAUCUACCUCGGCAAGCCCAGCCUGGACAGGCCCAUCCAGGCCACGGAGAGGGUCAGCGAGAGCAAGGUGCGUCCCGUCCACUUCUGGUUUGCCACCGGCGGGGCUGGCUUCUGCAUCAGCCGAGGGCUGGCCCUGAAGAUGAGCCCUUGGGCCAGCGGAGGCCACUUCAUGAGCACGGCCGAGCGGAUCCGGCUGCCGGACGACUGCACCAUCGGCUACAUCGUGGAGGCUCUGCUGGGCGUGCCCCUCAUCCGCAGCGGGCUCUUCCACUCCCACCUGGAGAACCUGCAGCAGGUCCCCACCUCCGAGCUCCAUGAGCAGGUGACCUUGAGCUACGGCAUGUUUGAAAACAAGCGGAAUGCUGUCCACAUUAAGGGGCCCUUCUCAGUGGAGGCCGACCCAUCCAGGUUCCGCUCCAUCCACUGCCACCUGUACCCGGACACACCCUGGUGUCCCCACACUGCCAUCUUCUAGCAGCUACGGCUGAAACCCUGUCCCCGGGCACCCCUGGUAUCCAAAGGGCCCGGGGACCCCUGUUGUGCCGCCCUGGCCUUGGCAUUCGAGGCUCCCCCAGGGCUGUGCGUGUGUGUGUACUGUGUGCCCAUCCGUGUAGCAGACUGCUGGGCAGCUCUGCUCUGCCGAGGAGCAGGCACGGCACCGCCCGUCUGUCUUUCCGUGCUCCACCCCAGAAGGAUUUGUAAGUCAGAGGUCACUCUGAGGGCCGGUUUAUUAUUAUUCUGGGGUCUUUGGGCAGCAUGGGGGCCAGAGGCUGCUCUGCAGCGAUGUGCAGGUGCCUUUCCCUUCCCGCUGAGUGCAGGCCCAGCGCUGCGGGCGCCUGCCCCCUGGGAUCCUGGCUCCUCCUCAGAGCCCCCAGGACAACUCACCAUGCUCAGUGCUGCGAGGAAGCUGGGUUUGGGGGGUGUGGCCCGAGUCCCCUCCUCCCACUGAGCUCUGGCCUGGGUACCUGGGUGCCGUGGCUCCAAGUAACAGCAGCCCCCGUGGCCUUGCCGCUGGGUGACGUGCAGCGCCGCCCCGGGCAGGGGUCUUCCCCGCUCUCUUGGCCAUCUUCCCUUUGUGACGGGGAGUCAGCUGAGGCUCUUAUCUCCUCUCCGAAGUAGAGAGAAAGUCGCCCAUAGUGGGUGUGUCUGUAAAUAUUGUGACAGUAUUUUUUACUGUGCUUGUUUUUCGAAAGGGGGUGGGUACAAAGUAGGGUGUUUUUGUCUGUGUUUUCGGGGGGUUGGGGAGGGUGCUAUUUUAUCUUUUCUGUGGAUCAGAAAAAGCAGAAGCCAAACUUGGGAUAAUCUUUGUUGUUAAAGCUGAUGGAAAUGUCCAACACUCUGUGUAUUUAUAUGUCGUGGUAUCUGGCCUCUCCCUGCCCACCUCCUGCAUAGAACCUGCCUCCUACCAGCCCAGCUUGGCGCACCUGACCAGUGAGAUGGGGAGACUGAGGCUCAGAGCAGGUGAUGUGAUUGAUGCCCAAGGUCAGGCAGCUGGGCUGGUGAAGAGCUCAAACUCCGAUAUCAGGCUGACCUUGGAUCCUGGCCUCACCGCCCCCCCGACGCUGUUCACCCUGGACGGGUCCCGGGAGCCUGUUGACCCUGGACGGGUCCCUGCCUUGUUUUCUACAGAAGGCAGCUCCUCUGGCCCUUCCUCAAAUCAAGGCUUUGUGAUGGCAGGAGCGGGGAGGAGCUGCUCCGGCCUCAGCUGGGGAAUCCCCUCCUCCCGCCCUCCCAGGCAGCCUGGGGCAGCCCUCAGUUCCUCUUCCUCAAACUGAGCCCGGACACACCCCCCCUCCCCCCGC
RNA transcript from Balaenoptera musculus (blue whale), 2552 nucleotides. It is a transcript of the gene named LFNG O-fucosylpeptide 3-beta-N-acetylglucosaminyltransferase, with no coding region annotated. The transcript has 9 exons. The record is from RefSeq and is a predicted model, not a curated record. Lineage: Eukaryota; Metazoa; Chordata; Mammalia; Artiodactyla; Balaenopteridae.